UCUGCUGUCGGCCAACGGCAUGGCAGAGUAGCCAAGUCCGGAAGGGAUAAACGCUGAAGGCAUCUAAGCGUGAAGCCCCCCUCAAGAUGAGAUAUCCCUCACAAAAGUGGGUAAGAUCCCUUGAAGACUACAAGGUAGAUAGGGCAGAGGUGGAAGUGUGGCAACACAUGGAGCUGACUGUUACUAAUCGAUCGAGGGCUUGACCAAA
Molecule: ribosomal RNA, 208 nt
Filed under: Roseburia inulinivorans
Lineage: Bacteria; Bacillati; Bacillota; Clostridia; Lachnospirales; Lachnospiraceae
Description: partial 23S ribosomal RNA
Rfam family: Bacterial large subunit ribosomal RNA
Source: RNAcentral